AGCGGCGAACGGGUGAGUAAAGAAGGUGAUCUGCCCAUCAGACGGGGACAACGAUUGGAAACGAUCGCUAAUACCGGAUAGGACGAAAGUUUAAAGGUGCUUCUGGCACCGCUGAUGGAUGAGCCUGCGGCGCAUUAGCUAGUUGGUAGGGUAAAGGCCUACCAAGGCAACGAUGCGUAGCCGACCUGAGAGGGUGAACGGCCACACUGGGACUGAGACACGGCCCAGACUCCUACGGGAGGCAGCAGUAGGGAAUCUUCGGCAAUGGGCGAAAGCCUGACCGAGCAACGCCGCGUGAAUGAUGAAGGCCUUCGGGUUGUAAAAUUCUGUUAUAAGGGAAGAACGACUUUAGUAGGAAAUGGCUAGAGUGUGACAGUACCUUAUGAGAAAGCCACGGCUAACUACGUGCCAGCAGCCGCGGUAAUACGUAGGUGGCGAGCGUUAUCCGGAAUUAUUGGGCGUAAAGAGCGCGCAGGUGGUUGAUUAAGUCUGAUGUGAAAGCCCACGGCUUAACCGUGGAGGGUCAUUGGAAACUGGUCGACUUGAGUGCAGAAGAGGGAAGUGGAAUUCCAUGUGUAGCGGUGAAAUGCGUAGAGAUAUGGAGGAACACCAGUGGCGAAGGCGGCUUCCUGGUCUGUAACUGACACUGAGGCGCGAAAGCGUGGGGAGCAAACAGGAUUAGAUACCCUGGUAGUCCACGCCGUAAACGAUGAGUGCUAAGUGU
RNAcentral lists this ribosomal RNA (724 nucleotides) under uncultured bacterium. Its description in RNAcentral is "bacterial SSU rRNA". It matches the Rfam family "Bacterial small subunit ribosomal RNA", at positions 94 to 823 of the family's 1533-position model. The record is from RNAcentral.